This 497-nucleotide ribosomal RNA is filed under the name uncultured bacterium. RNAcentral describes it as "partial 16S ribosomal RNA". It matches the Rfam family "Bacterial small subunit ribosomal RNA", at positions 28 to 507 of the family's 1533-position model. The record is from RNAcentral.
GAUGAACGCUGGCGGCGUGCCUAAUACAUGCAAGUCGAGCGAACAGACGAGGAUCUUGCUCCUCUGACGUUAGCGGCGGACGGGUGAGUAACACGUGGAUAACCUACCUAUAAGACUGGUAUAACUUCGGGAAACCGGAGCUAAUACCGGAUAAUAUAUUGAACCGCAUGGUUCAAUAGUGAAAUACGGCUUUGCUGUCACUUAUAGAUGGAUCCGCGCCGCAUUAGCUAGUUGGUAAGUUAACGGCUUACCAAGGCAACGAUGCGUAGCCGACCUGAGAGGGGGAUAGGCGACACGGGAACUGAGACACGGUCAAGACUCCUAAGGGAGGCAGCAGUAGGGAAUCUUCGGCAGUGGGCGAAAGCAUGACGGAGCAACGCGGAGUGAGUGAUGAAGGUCUUCGGAUCGUAAAACUGUGUUAUUAGGGAAGAACAAAUGUGUACGUAGAUAUGGCCGUAUUGACGGUACCUAAUAAGAAAGCAACGGCUAACUACGUG